GACGAACGCUGGCGGCGUGCUUAACACAUGCAAGUCGAACGGAAAGGCCCUGCUCUUGUGGGGUGCUCGUGUGGCGAACGGGUGAGUAACACGUGAGUAACCUGCCCUUGACUUUGGGAUAACUCUAGGAAACUGGGGCUAAUACCGGAUAGGAGCUCCUGCUGCAUGGUGGGGGUUGGAAAGUUUCGGCGGUUGGGGAUGGACUCGCGGCUUAUCAGCUUGUUGGUGGGGUAGUGGCUUACCAAGGCUUUGACGGGUAGCCGGCCUGAGAGGGUGACCGGCCACAUUGCGACUGAGGUACGGCCCAGACUCCUACGGGAGGCAGCAGUGGGGAAUAUUGCACAAUGGGCGGAAGCCUGAUGCAGCAACGCCGCGUGCGGGAUGACGGCCUUCGAGGUGUAAACCGCUUUCGCCUGUGACGAAGCGUGAGUGACGGUAAUGGGUAAAGAAGCACCGGCUAACUACGUG
Molecule: ribosomal RNA, 468 nt
Filed under: uncultured bacterium
Lineage: Bacteria
Description: partial 16S ribosomal RNA
Rfam family: Bacterial small subunit ribosomal RNA
Source: RNAcentral